GAUGAACGCUGGCGGCGUGCCUAAUACAUGCAAGUCGAGCGAACGGACGAGAAGCUUGCUUCUCUGAUGUUAGCGGCGGACGGGUGAGGAACACGUGGAUAACCGACCUAUAAGACUGGGAUAAGUUCGGGAAACCGGAGCUAAUACCGGAUAAUAGUUUGAACCGCAUGGUUCAAAAGUGAAAGACGUUCUUGCUGUCACUUAUAGAUGGAUCCGCGCUGCAUUAGCUAGUUGGUAAGGUAACGGCUCACCAAGGCAACGAUGCAUAGCCGACCUGAGAGGGUGAUCGGCCACACUGGAACUGAGACACGGUCCAGACUCCUACGGGAGGCAGCAGUGGGGAAUAUUGCGCAAUGGGCGAAAGCCUGACGGAGCAACGCCGCGUGAGUGAUGAAGGUCUUCGGAUCGUAAAACUCUGUUAUUAGGGAAGAACAUAUGUGUAAGUAACUGUGCACAUCUUGACGGUACCUAAUCAGAAAGCCACGGCUAACUACGUG
RNAcentral lists this ribosomal RNA (497 nucleotides) under uncultured bacterium. RNAcentral describes it as "partial 16S ribosomal RNA". It matches the Rfam family "Bacterial small subunit ribosomal RNA", at positions 28 to 507 of the family's 1533-position model. The record is from RNAcentral.